CUUCACAUCUCUGGACAUAAAUAUUCUGACUUGCAGCUGGGAAACUUCCUUCCAAAUUGUUCCGUUUGUCAGGUUCAAGUACAAAUUUUCAGCUAAAAACCUUCUCUCCUUGGCUCUUAAUGGGUGCUGGCCAACAAACAAAAAAGAGGAAAAGGGAGUGAAUUACAUGACCUGUCUCUUUUUGUUUAUUAAGAACUUCUUUCCAGCGUCUGAUUCUUACGGAAAUAUGGUUUCAAUUUUCUCUUUGAAUUGUGGAUCAAGAAAUGUUGCCAAUACAUAUUUUUCCCUGUCAAAAUUUCAUUUAAUCUGGAGUCUGUGGACGUCUUGAGAGCCACGUCUCCUCGCGGGGUUAUUACCGUGUGUGCCUGUUGUCAUGUUAGCUCUAAAUUGGAAUCACAUUUGUUCCGGAAAGCGGCGCUGGCUCCGCAGUGCAGCGCAGGGCCGUGGUUGGCAGCAGCGUUGCCCGUGCCCAUGGGACGCCCAGGCUGCGUGGCACAGCUCUGCGGGACGGGACCUGCAUGGCCACUUGGUGGAGCACUUGAGGAAGAACUAUACACUGACUCUUUGGCACCAAGUACUGGGUACAGAGCCAGCAGCCACAGCGUCCAGCCCGGAGGAUUCCUGCCUGGAAAGCUGUCUUCCUGGUGACCGUGCAGUGUAAAGGCUGAAGAAGUUGAGAAGUUGGUGCCACUGCCCCGGCGAGUCCUGUUCCGCAGAGUGGCCCACAGCUGCUUGGCUCUGCUGCGCACCUGAGGUUGGACUCAUGAACCAGGAGCAAUGACAAACAGCCCACACUGCGCCCACAGCUCAGCGUCCUCUGCUCUGGGUGCAAAGGAGGAGCCCAGCAGCGUGGCCAGGCAGCGGUGGGGGGUGGGGGGGAAAUACUGGGGAACACAGGGACACGGUGAGGUGGGGACAGAGCUCUGCAGAUAAGCCAUGUGCAGACACAGUAUGGAUGUGAGUUUUGAAGUAAAUACUAAUUUACAUGGCUGCAUCCCAGGAUAAAUCAUAGAAGAUUUAUUGUAACCUUCUUAAAAAAAAAAGGAAAUUGU
RNAcentral lists this long non-coding RNA (1052 nucleotides) under Numida meleagris (helmeted guineafowl). RNAcentral's name for it is "lncRNA (ENSNMEG00000013210.1)". Lineage: Eukaryota; Metazoa; Chordata; Aves; Galliformes; Numididae. The record is from RNAcentral.